GCGAAAAGCUCGAAACCGGUUCUGAGCGUACAGAAUGGCCGGGUAGCCGGUCAGCAUGUAUAUACGAUUGGCUACGACUUUCUAAACUUCCGUCGCACAGCUAAACGUACGCUUAAACCGUGUGCUUUAUUUUUCAUUUUUCUCUACCGACAUGUCACGGUGAAAAUGUCUGAAAAGAAUUUACCUCGUUACGUCGAGCAUUGACGCUACACGCGUGAUUAGUAAUUUCACGAAAAUAUUAUGCUAUUACGACGCUUAAUAAUGGAGCGUGAAAAUGAAACGAAUGUAGAAAUAUAGAAAAUUAUAAUAGAAAGAAACAUUUUAUUAGUUUAUUUAUUUUUAUACGAUAUAGAGCAGAAUUUCACUUCUUCGAUUCUUAAAAAUUUCAACCUGUUUGUUUACGUUUCUGAUAACACUAGGCACAAAUUCCAAGAAACAAUGGAAGAACGAAAGAAAAACGAAACAACAGCUUUGAAUGAUGAUAUCAUACUGUUUAUGCGAACCUCGUCAUUAGCAUACUGCGAAAUAUUUAGAAAUUAAAUAUUAAAAAUUUUUAUAUUCUAAUAUAUAUAUAUUUUGGAUAUAUUUGAAGAUGCUGUUCAUUUCGUAUUUCGAAAUAAUAUAUGAAAUGAUAGAAAAGAAAAAACAAUUGGAAGAAAAACGCCAAUCGAAGCGCGUAAAUUUUCUAACGCGUAACAUACGCUAGAGUCGACACAUCACGGCAUGUUGGCGUCGUCGCGGCACACGUGUAUUUACUAUUUAUGACAAAGGAUACAGCAGUUGUACGAGAAUAAACCAACCGUUAUUGCACUUCGUGCCAAACGCCAUGCAACUUUUGCACGCUACUAGCAUUCUUAAUUGCACCGGACAACGGUUCAUAUUCACGAUACUUUUCGUUCUAAGCGACUAAACCGGCAGAAAGUUAGACGCCUACAUGCCAUGCAUACGACGCGUAAACGCUCUAAUGGACACUACGACAGCGUGUGAUAUGGAAUAAGUACAAUUGUUCAGCAGACUGCGUGACGCUAUACACCGUGGGCGUGGCAAAAUCAAGUUGUUAAUAAAGCAAUCUAUCAUAAUA
This is a long non-coding RNA of Apis dorsata (giant honeybee), 1081 nucleotides long. RefSeq lists it as uncharacterized. The record is from RefSeq and is a predicted model, not a curated record. The transcript has 2 exons. NCBI's taxonomy places the organism in Eukaryota, Metazoa, Arthropoda, Insecta, Hymenoptera, Apidae.